CAAGGAAUAGUUUAAUUUAAAAUAAUAAUUUUGGAGAUUAUAGAUAAAUAUUUUUAUAUUUUUCUUUGA
This 69-nucleotide transfer RNA is filed under the name Notidobia ciliaris. RNAcentral's name for it is "tRNA-Pro". Lineage: Eukaryota; Metazoa; Arthropoda; Insecta; Trichoptera; Sericostomatidae. The record is from RNAcentral.